GGAGAGAUCGCAUAGUUGGUCUAGUGCGCCCGCUUGGAGUGCGGGUAGGCCCGCAAGGGUCUCGGGGGUUCGAAUCCCCCUCUCUCCGCCA
This 91-nucleotide transfer RNA is filed under the name Patescibacteria group bacterium. RNAcentral's name for it is "tRNA-Ser". It matches the Rfam family "tRNA". From Rfam's summary of the family: Transfer RNA (tRNA) molecules are approximately 80 nucleotides in length. The record is from RNAcentral. RNAcentral also lists the same sequence under 1 other name.